CGUAGGUGGCAAGCGUUAUCCGGAUUUAUUGGGCGUAAAGCGAGCGCAGGCGGUUUGAUAAGUCUGAUGUGAAAGCCUUUGGCUUAACCAAAGAAGUGCAUCGGAAACUGUCAGACUUGAGUGCAGAAGAGGGCAGUGGAACUCCAUGUGUAGCGGUGGAAUGCGUAGAUAUAUGGAAGAACACCAGUGGCGAAGGCGGCUGCCUGGUCUGCAACUGACGCUGAGGCUCGAAAGCAUGGGUAGCGAACAGGAUU
This 254-nucleotide ribosomal RNA is filed under the name uncultured bacterium. RNAcentral describes it as "partial 16S ribosomal RNA". It matches the Rfam family "Bacterial small subunit ribosomal RNA", at positions 526 to 779 of the family's 1533-position model. The record is from RNAcentral.